CGACGGUUGGUGCUAUGCCAACCGUGGCGUUAACGGAUAACAGAGAAUCUGGGUUCGAUUCUGGAGAGGCCGCAUGAGAAACGGCGACCACUUCCAAGGAAGGCAGCAGGCACGCAAAUUACCCACUUCGGACACCGAGAGGUAGUGACGAACAAUACCGAUGCGGCGCACAUACGUGUCGCCGUAAUCGGAAUGAGUACACUUCAAAUCCUUUAACGAGGAUCCACUGGAGGGCAAGCCUGGUGCCAGCAGCCGCGGUAAUUCCAGCUCCAGCAGCGUAUAUUUAUAUUGCUGCGUUUAAAAAGCUCGUAGUUGAAGCGUCAGACGCGGAAGGGCGGACGGCCGCACUGGUCGCUCUCGCCCGACCGAGCCAGGCGCAGAGGGCGCGCGUCGCUUGCACUUUACCGUGUGAGCGCGCCGCCGCUGCACGUUCACCUUGAAGAAAUUGAACCGCUUAGAGGGGGCGAACAGCUUGUACAGCUCAGCAUGGUAUGAUGGAACAUGGGCUCGUACUCAUUUUGUUGGUUAGAGAGUCGGCGAGCCAAUGAUUAACAGGGACUGCCGGGGGCAUUCGUACUCGGACGGGAGAGGUGAAAUUCAAGGAUCGUCCGAAGACGCCCUACUGCGAAAGCAUUUGCCAAGAAUGUUUUCAUUAAUCAAGAACGAAAGUCAGAGGUGCGAAGGCGAUCAGAUACCGCCGUAGUUCUGACCGUAAACGUUGCCAACUGGCAAUUGGGCGCACUUCUGUCGAAGUUGCCGCCAGCAGUAUUGCCCGGGAAACCAAAGUCAUUGGGUUCCGGGGGGAGUAUGGUUGCAAAGCUGAAACUUAAAGGAAUUGACGGAAGGGCACCACCAGGAGUGGAGCCUGCGGCUUAAUUUGACUCAACACGGGAAACCUCACCCGGCCCGAACACUGUUAUGACAGACAGGUUGAGAGCUCUUUCUCGAUUCAGUGGUUGGUGGUGCAUGGCCGUUCUUAGUUCGUGGAGCGAUCUGUCUGGUUAAUUCCGAUAACGAACGAGACUCUUGCCUGCUAAAUAGACGGCGUCGACUCUUGUCGGCGACCGUUCGCUUCUUAGAGGGACAAGCGGCUUUUAGCCGCGUGAAGCCGAGAGCAAUAACAGGUCAGUGAUGCCCUCAGAUGUUCGGGGCCGCACGCGCGCUACACUGUUUGCAUCAGCGUGUUUCUCCCGCGCCGGCUGGCGCGGGCAACCCGUUGAACCGCAAACGUGCUAGGGAUCGGAGAUUGCAAUUGUUCUCCGUGAACGAGGAAUUCCUUGUACUGGCGAGUCAUCAGCUCGCGGGGAAUCUGUCCCUGCCCUUUGUACACACCGCCCGUCGCUACUACCGAUUGAGUGGUUUAGUGAGGCUCACGGACUGCG
Molecule: ribosomal RNA, 1382 nt
Filed under: Valdemunitella huttoni
Lineage: Eukaryota; Metazoa; Bryozoa; Gymnolaemata; Cheilostomatida; Calloporidae
Description: SSU rRNA
Rfam family: Eukaryotic small subunit ribosomal RNA
Source: RNAcentral